Corvus hawaiiensis (hawaiian crow) is the source of this 5842-nucleotide long non-coding RNA. RefSeq lists it as uncharacterized. The record is from RefSeq and is a predicted model, not a curated record. NCBI's taxonomy places the organism in Eukaryota, Metazoa, Chordata, Aves, Passeriformes, Corvidae. The transcript has 4 exons.
CCCCUCCUACCAACCAACUAAAAAAAACCCCAAAAAAUCCCCAAAACCAAACCCUCAAAACCCCCUAAACAUGAAUUUUGCAGUCCUUGGCAACAAGUUGCUGACAGAUCAUGAAAAUAUCCCAGGCAUUCUGUGUUUGCCAGCAGGGGCAAUGUAGCCAGUGCUGAUGCAGUGUUCAUUCAGAGCUCGUCAGCACUUUAAGACACAGCUCAAGGCCUCUUCCCUUUUCAGUCUUUGGCAAUUCCACAUCUACUGAUUGAAGGAGAUGUGUGAAAGUUCAGGAUAUCACAGUCCAGCAGUUCAUUGCACUGCUGGUUACUUUGCUGUUUGAGCCUCAAGUAACUUUUCCCCAAUGGCACAGCAAGUUUUGAAGCCUUUCUCUGAAAAUCUACCUGCACCAUCCAGACUUUCAACAAGGAAAGUUAAAAAAAAAAAAAAUCUGUAAAUUCAGCCCUUAUAUGGAUGGAGGGAAGAAGAGGGGAGAACUAAAAGGAAGAACAAAUAGAUUUAGUAAAAGUAAAAAGGAGAAAAUUACAGAACUCUGCAUCUUUAAAUGUCCUUUUUUCUAGAUAAUAUCUUUGAUCUUAGCUCCUUAAGUAUGAAACAAAUCAAUAAAAGGCUAAAGAGCAAAUUAAGAUCUUUAAAAAAAGAACGCUGAUUAUUUUGAAGUCUUCUACACCUGUUAAGAGGCUUUUAUAUUUUAUUAUUUUAGACUGUUUCUUGAAUGUGUUAAGCACUGGAAUCAAGAUACUAAUUUAAAAAUAAGAAAUUUUUAAAUUAUUUUCUAUUAUAUGUAUUUUAAAACCCCCAUAUAGACUUUCUUCUCUAAAGAAGUGUAUUUCGAAGCAGAGUUUUAGAAAGUAAAAAAAUUAAUUUCAAAGAGUUGCGAAUGGUGUGGAAAAUUGAAACAUUAAAUGGGAGGUACAGUAUAGAAAACAUAUUCUUUUGUUUUAGAGGGGCCAAUGUAGCAGGUCUUGUGGUUGUAACAGCUAGGUAAGCAGCCCUCUGAAGAUAAACUAAAUGAGAUUAAGGAAAAAAUUACUUAGGUUUAGUGCAAAGCAUUGUGUUCUGCAGUUAAGCAGUGUUUUCUGCCAUAAUCUUUAUGAACAGGCAAGUGCUUUUCUCUCCUCUGAUAUGGUGUUUCAUGACAAGAUCUUUUUAAUCAAAACCAGUAGGGGAUUAUUUUAAUUAAUUAUAAAUCAGCAGCCAAGAUUCAUUAACAUUUUUGUUAAAGAUUAUCUUAUUACUCUAGUUUCAAGAUGCCGAGUGUUCAAAUACUAGCUUAGGAAGUUAGUUUUCUUUUCCAUGAGAGCAUUAAUCUUAUGUAUAAAUUCCCAAAAGAGUUUGGAGCUCAAGUUACAGUUUUAAAGAGAAGUAGAAAUACUGCAGAGAGUUUUGCCGGACCAUGGAUUCCUUUAUUAACACUGAAUUCUUUUACCAGCUUGACUUACAAUUUUCAGCUUUGUGUGCUUGCAACUACAGAGCAGUUUCUGGCAUUAGCAGCCUAAACAAAACGCAGUUCCAGGGUGUUUGACCUCUUGAUGCACUUGUCAAAACCUUCCUGGUGUCACUGCGAGUAACACGUGUGGUAGCAGGCCAACUUCCACUUUGUGUGGUGAGAGUUGGAAAGAGAUGUGGGCUGGUAUCCUGUAGAGUUUGUGAGUUCCAAGCAAAUCUCACGUGGAGUUUGCUGGCUUGGUCAUGUGGCCAGGCUGUCACUGAUGGAUCUAAAAUGUGUGCAGCAGCUUGGAAAUCUGCUGUCCUUUUAAAUGUGCAACUGGUGGAGUGUGUGCAUCCUUUCUGGCGUGUGGGCUCCCAUGUUAACCAACCCUCUAAGGCUGGGAGGUGGCAGGGGUGCAAGGAAUCUCUUUGCAAAGCAACACAGGAAAGGCUUGCCUGUGGGAAAGCAAGAAGGAAGCAGAGUUGCCUUGAAUGCGUACCAUGACAGUCAUUAAGUCACCAACAUGGUUCAGUUACUUUAGAGUUUCAAAAGAGCUCGCAGUGACAUAGCCCGUGUAUUUAAAAACACUGAAUUAACACUUCCUGCAUGUGAGGAAUUGCUGUUGCAUAGUCAGCCUGGGAGCACAAAGGCAGCAGUAAACAAGUCUGUAAUGUGCAAGAGUAGCCUGCAUUCAGUAUGCCCUCAGUAUUCAGGAGCUCUCAGAUGGACAGUCAAGGUUUUUAUAGCUGCCCUUGGGUCCUGGGGAGUUUAAUAGUUCAGGUUUGCAUUAGGGGUUCCCAGUGACCCUUCAGGUUACACCUGGUGACGUUCAGUAUUCUGAGUGAGUGCUAAUUAUGCUGCUUGCAGCUCUUUGGGCAAGCAGGAAGUGGUUUCCCAUCCUCAGCAUGCCCUAACACAUAGAGAACAUUCCAUCCUCCCAGAUUUAACUUCCUAGGUGGCCUUCCUCUGGAUUAAGUAUGUUUUCUUCACCUUUUCUUUGUAAGGUGUCAUGAUAAUCAGUGUAAAGAGGUAGGUCGCAGCUGCCUGGGCUCCACCCCAUCCCCUCACUGAGAGGAGGGAAGAAAAGGCAUCUUUUGAAUGUCUCAAGUCUCAUGGCAUGGAGUACCAGGGCAGUAGCUGCAGCAGGAUCUGUGAUGUGAUCUGCCUUUGGCCUCUGCAGUGCCCAGCAGUGGAGACCUGCCAGCCUCUUCACUGGGCAAGGCUAGAAAGCAGGAGGGGGCUGGCACCAUCUCCUCAUUUCUGCUUGAAUGGUGCUUACUCUCGGUGCUUGACACCACUCUCUGCUUUGCUCUGUGCUCUCAGAUAAUUUUCUUCCACUGGUGAUGGGAGAAACUUCAUAUUUUGAGGAGUACUGGGCUGGACCUGGUUAUUUUAUAGCUGGUUCAGGAUCGCUGAGGGGAGGGGAGUUGCUCUUCAUCUGCCGUCAUUCCUCGUGCCAGGGCUCAGAGCAGGCUGUGCUGAGACCUUUCUAAAGCAGCUUUUAGGCAGUCUGUGCAGAGCUGGUGGGAGGCUUGGUCUAAAACCAGCUGCUGGCUCCAUGAUUCUCCGAGCUCAACCUUGUCCUUGUUUUGCAAUGUGCUGUGUCCUGAACAUCUGCAGCCUCCUGGGGCUUUAAGGGCUACUCUGCUGUGGGGAUUGCUGAGCUCUUUCUUGCAUUAAUUAAUGUAGCUUUACUUUUGGCAGCAGCAAAGGGAGCUGCCAGAGGUCUUACAUAGCAUUUAAAAUGUCAGCUGCCAGUCUAGAGCAGCUGCCAGCACUGGAGCUCUGGCAGGGGGAAUAUUGUCACAGGACAUGUCAGUGUGGACACAGCGCCAGUCAGUCAGGGCAGGGACUUGUGUACAGAGUAUCCUGACGUUGGUAAAAUGCCCUUUGAAAUCUCAGCAAGCUGGCACCUGUGUUGCUUGGGUCAUAUAUAAGGAAAUGCUGCUGGCUCCUGGCUGUUGUGGUUUGUAUUCAGACCCGACUGAAAUGUGUGAAGAACUUCCCAUUGGAUCAGAGUACAGGCAGUGAAGGAUUCUCUGGAUACCGAAUGCUGGAAAAACAUUCUGUGUACAGGCAAGCAAGGAAGGCUUCUCAGUUAACCUCUGUGGGUGUCAGGAGCCAGUGGCCAGGAUUUACUGCAUCAAAUACAUGGUACACAAAUACACUUUAGGUGUGUGGUGAAAGCUGAUGUCUCAACUCACAAAUGGGAUGCCUCCAGGAUUUAUUUUUAACUUUUAUGAGGAAAGGAGAAUUACAAGAGAUGUGGACAGGUGAGUUAGAUUCUCUUGUGCCUUUGCAAAGACAUCACCAGUGAAACUGUCAGAAGACCACGGUGUGUGAAGAGCUGCAUCUUUUGCCAUCUAUUCUAUUACUAAAGCAAAGAUCUUUUACUUUCCUGAUGUUAUUGGAGAUACCAUUUCUACAGGUGAGAACUUAACAUUGUCCAAUCACAAGACCUCAAUUUAUAUAUUAUUUGCUGUCAUUAAAUAUUUAGGCCACACUGUCCCACGUCUUUGUUGUAAUUUCUCUGGGCUGAAAGAGUAUAGCCUCAACUACUUCAUUUCUGUUGCUUUCCUUGUGCUGGCCUCAGCUUAUGUGCUAUGUAUACUGUGCAGAGUAAUGAAAAAUUUGAAAAAUCAGUUGAGAUAUUUGGAUGUUUAAUUGGCUUAAGCUCACCUCCCAGCUGUGGGAAUGUGGGAGCUUACACAGAGAAGGUGAUGGGACCAAGGCAAAGGGCAAGUGAUGGGGUCUUGCUGCUGGAAAUUGUGUCACUGUGGAUAAAAAACUAUCGUGUUUGGCUGGGCAAAGAAAGAUGUCGGGAAGAAAUAUGUGAAAAUGCCCAGGGGAGUGAAUAUCAGUGGUUCUUAAUGCCACUAACAGUUUCAGGUCAGACAGCUUGCAAACCAUGCUUGGAUUUUGAGGGAUAUGCAAGAGCUCUAAACCUGGGUAGACAGACAUAAUUUUGAGAGAGUGAGAGUUGCUUAUUGAGGAUAAAAUGGAUACUGUGAAGGACUGAAGAUGGCACUGAAACUUCCAGCUUGUUAAAGUCUAAGACAUUAAUUUCAUUCUUUGAAUCAAUGUGUGUACAUCCAAGGAAAUCCUUCCUUUCUGAUGGAUGGGUGUGAUGCUAAUGUCAAAGCGCACCUGCUGUCUGCAGGCCAUACAGAAAGUGAGAAAUGACAGACUCACCAAGCUCCUUCUUUAUUAAAUUUGUGUGGUGCUUGAAGGGAAGGGGCACAGGCUAUGACUGUUUUAAUGUUCUGGAUCAGUAAGUGUUUCCCUGCUGCACAACAAGCACUUCAAAACUGAUCAUUCUUCCUGUGCUCCAGGCUUCACAUCCACCACUGCUCAGUGCACCCAGCACUGCUGGCAUUCCCAUCCUGGAAAAGGCCACUUUUCACAGACAUUGUCACAUUGCAGCUCCUACAUGAAACAAAGCACACCUAAUCCUUUAAACACCUGAGGUACCUACUUGCAAAUCUUUCUGAAUUUGUCCUUGGCCCAUGAAUGCAAACUGUGGCAUUAAGACAAAGGCUUGUUUUCAAAGUUAUAAAUAGCGUAGUUCUUAUUGUUGUCAUAGAAUCUGUGGCAUAAUCCUGUGAGGAGUAUUGUGCUUGUCACACCAGACAGUACAAUCCAUGUUUUGUUUACCCUUUCCCCAUUCUGGUUCUCAGUUUAUAGCAGUGCCAGCUGCAGGUGUGGUGGAGGCUUUAUGACAUUUCUCUGACGUGAAGCUGAGACCAUUAACUCUGACCCCUCUUUCAGAACAUUUUCUGCAUCUCUGCCUUACCUGUUUUCAUUGAUUCUGACUGCUAUGAAAACCCUUUUUAUAUUGCAACACAUACUCAAAACCACAAAUGUUACAGAUCUGGAUCAUGAAUUUAUUCUUUCCUAGUGUUCAUCCAGCCCAUGGCAGUUACCAUGUGACAGCAGCUCUGGGAAGUACCUGGACAUUUUAGAAUGUGGUACUUUCUGUUGAAAAGAUGAUUUUUGCCAGAUAUGUUUCACACCAUAAAUAUGCCACUGUACAUGGUUUGGUGAAAAACUCCACAAAACAAAAGGAAAGGAGGCAAAACAAUUUGCCUGUUCUAGCCAUAUGUCCUGGGUUGCAGUGUAUUCUAUUACCAUCCUCAUGAGCUGUUGAAACCAGGUGGGGCAGUGUUUCCUUGCCUCCUCCCUCCGGACUAUCUUCUGUUAAUGAGCCCAUCAACGCCUUGCUUAAUGACUCAUCAUCCCGUUGUGAGAUGCUCCACCCAGAGGGAGGAACCAAGCAUUCCACCCUGGAUAUAAUCUGAGAUUCCAAACACUAGAAACAACCUUCUCACUGGAUUUCCAGAGGACAGGAGCUACACAGCCACCACUGGACCUUCUGAGGAAGAGCAACCCCUUUCUACAGGA